AGAGUUUGAUCAUGGCUCAGGACGAACGCUGGCGGCGUGCCUAACACAUGCAAGUCGAACGGAGUGAUUGUUUUCGGAUGAUCACUUAGUGGCGAACGGGUGAGUAACGCGUGAACAACCUGCCUUUCUGAGGGGGAUAACACCUGGAAACAAGUGCUAAUACCGCAUAAGACCACAGAGCCGCAUGGCCCAGGGGUCAAAGGAGCAAUCCGCAGGGAGAGGGGUUCGCGUCCCAUUAGCUAGUUGGCGGGGCAACGGCCCACCAAGGCGACGAUGGGUAGCCGAGCUGAGAGGCUGAUCGGCCACACUGGAACUGAGACACGGUCCAGACUCCUACGGGAGGCAGCAGUGGGGAAUAUUGCACAAUGGGGGAAACCCUGAUGCAGCAACGCCGCGUGGAGGAAGAAGGUUUUCGGAUUGUAAACUCCUGUCUUUUGGGACGAUAAUGACGGUACCAAAAGAGGAAGCCACGGCUAACUACGUGCCAGCAGCCGCGGUAAUACGUAGGUGGCGAGCGUUGUCCGGAAUUACUGGGCGUAAAGGGCGCGUAGGCGGCCUGUUAAGUCAGAUGUGAAAACCCCAGGCUCAACCUGGGGACUGCAUAUGAAACUGAUGGGCUAGAGUGUCGGAGAGGGAAGCGGAAU
RNAcentral lists this ribosomal RNA (644 nucleotides) under uncultured bacterium. RNAcentral's name for it is "bacterial SSU rRNA". It matches the Rfam family "Bacterial small subunit ribosomal RNA", at positions 8 to 667 of the family's 1533-position model. The record is from RNAcentral.